Long non-coding RNA from Chiroxiphia lanceolata (lance-tailed manakin), 300 nucleotides. RefSeq lists it as uncharacterized. NCBI's taxonomy places the organism in Eukaryota, Metazoa, Chordata, Aves, Passeriformes, Pipridae. The transcript has 2 exons. The record is from RefSeq and is a predicted model, not a curated record.
CUCCAUUAGCAUCCAGGAGCUGUGACAGCCCAGCCCUCUCCAGCUCAAACAAGUGCAGCCACAAACAGAAAAAUCAACUUACCCCAGCCAAUGCAGAGAUAAAGCCGAAAAAUCCUUUGUUCAGAGAAGACCGAAAGUACCAGCAGCGUGUAAAGGUACAUGCCUUCCACCAGCAACCAGUAGUAGUUUGCAGCCACACAAUACUGCAUCAUCACAAAGACCAACCGGCAGCUGAGUGAUUCCUGUGAGGGAAGAAAGCACAGCCCAAGGGGCCAAGAAUAAAAGGAUACUAACACGAAA